This 1578-nucleotide ribosomal RNA is filed under the name Triticum aestivum (bread wheat). RNAcentral describes it as "partial small subunit ribosomal RNA". The record is from RNAcentral. Lineage: Eukaryota; Viridiplantae; Streptophyta; Magnoliopsida; Poales; Poaceae.
AUGCCGGCAGGAGGAUUCUCGGCGUCUUUGGCGCCGCCGUCCGGCAUGGAGUUCGAGGCCAAGAUCACGCCUAUGGUGGUCACCUCCUGCGUCACGGCGGCCACCGGCGGGCUCAUGUUCGGCUACGACAUCGGCGUCUCAGGCGGGGUGACAUCCAUGGAGGAUUUCCAGCGUGAGUUCUUCCCGACGGUGCUUCGCAAGAGGCGCGAGAACAAGGGGAGCAACUACUGCCGAUACGACAACCAAGGCCUGCAGCUCUUUACCUCGUCCCUCUACCUCGCCGGCCUCGUCUCCACCCUCUUCGCGUCCUACACCACCCGCCGACUCGGCCGCCGCGCCACUAUGCGCAUAGCCGGCGCCUUUUUCAUCGUCGGCGUCAUUUUCAAUGGCGCUGCACGGAACCUCGGCAUGCUCAUCGUCGGCAGGAUCCUGCUUGGCUGCGGCGUUGGCUUCGCCAACCAGGCUAUUCCUCUGUUCUUGUCAGAGAUCGCGCCGACUACAAUCCGCGGUGGCCUCAAUUCCCUGUUCCAGAUAAACAUCACCGUCGGCAUUUUGUUCGCCAACCUCGUCAACUAUGGCACUAACAGGAUCCACCCUUGGGGAUGGCGUCUUUCUUUGUCCCUCGCGGGAUUACCAGCUGUGCUGUUCACCCUAGGUGCGCUCUUCAUGAUCGAUACACCCAACAGCCUCAUUGAGCGCGGUCGUCAAGAGGAGGGCAAAGUUGUGCUCAAGAAGAUCCGCGGCACCGACAACGUGGAGCCGGAGUUCAAUGAGAUCGUGGAGGCCAGUCGCGUCGCCCAUGACAUCAAGAACCCAUUUCGAAGCCUCCUACAACGCCGCAACCGUCCCCUUCUCCUGAUCACCAUCCUCCUCCAGAUGUUCCAGCAAUUGACCGGUAUAAACGCCAUCAUGUUCUACGCCCCGGUGCUGCUCACCACGUUGGGAUUUAAGACCGAGGCUUCGCUCUACUCGGCAGUGAUCACGGGGGCAGUGAACGUGUUGUCGACGUUUGUAUCAAUGUACACUGUAGACCGAGUGGGGAGACGGAUGUUGCUGCUGGACGCCGGCGUGCAAAUGUUCCUCUCGUUAGUGGCCAUUGCCGUGGUGAUGAGGACAAGGGUUACCGACCGCUCAGACCACCUCGGCCAUGACUGGGCCAUCAUGGUCGUCAUCAUCAUCUGCAAUUUUGUAUCCUCCUUUGCUUGGUCAUGGGGCCCACUCGGGUGGCUCAUCCCGAGCGAGACUUUCCCGCUCGAGACGCGCUCCGCGGGGCAGAGCGUCAGUGUCUGCACGAACCUACUCUUCACAUCCAUCCUUGCGCAGGUCUUCCUCUCGAUGCUCUGCCACCUCAAGUCCUUCAUAUUUGUGUUUUUCUCCAUCUGUGUUGCCAUCAUGUCGCUCUUCGUCCUCUUCUUCCUACCCGAAACAAAGAACAUUCCCAUCGAGGAGAUGGUUGAAAGAGUGUGGAAACAACACUGGUUCUGGAAGCGAUUUAUGAAUGACGAAGGCGACAACCACGUCAUCAGCGAGGAGGAAACACCACCGAUGGUGUCACUAUCUGAUUCGUUUGUAGAAUGA